GACGAACGCUGGCGGCGUGCCUAAUGCAUGCAAGUCGCACGCAGCACCUUCGGGUGCUGAGUGGCGCACGGCUGAGGAUCACGUGGGAACAUGCCUCCUUGUGGGGGACAACACCGACGAAAGCGGUGCUAAUCCCGCAUACGCUCGUGCAAGCGAGGAAAGCGGCAACGCGCAGGGAGAGUGGCCCGCGGCCCAUCAGGUCGUCGGUGGGGAAUGGCCUACCGAGCCAAUGACGGGUAGCUGGUCUGUGAGGACAGACAGCCAGACUGGGACUGAGACACGGCCCAGACUCCGUACGGGAGCAGCAGCAAGGAAUUUUCGUCAAUGGGCGCAAGCCUGAACGAGCAACGCCGCGUGGAGGAUGACGG
Molecule: ribosomal RNA, 368 nt
Filed under: uncultured bacterium
Lineage: Bacteria
Description: bacterial SSU rRNA
Rfam family: Bacterial small subunit ribosomal RNA
Source: RNAcentral